This 327-nucleotide ribosomal RNA is filed under the name uncultured eukaryote. RNAcentral's name for it is "partial 18S ribosomal RNA". It matches the Rfam family "Eukaryotic small subunit ribosomal RNA", at positions 1470 to 1796 of the family's 1831-position model. The record is from RNAcentral.
CCCUUAGAUGUUCUGGGCCGCACACGCGCUACCCUGAAGGAGGCAGCGUGUACUCCUGGAUCGAAAGAUUUGGGUAACCCGCGAAUCUCCUUCGUGCUAGGGAUUGAGGUUUGCAAUUAUCCUUCAUGAACGAGGAAUUCCCAGUAAGUGCAAGUCAUAAGCUUGCGCUGACUACGUCCCUGCCCUUUGUACACACCGCCCGUCGCUACUACCGAUUGAAUGAUUUAGUGAGGACUUCGGACUGGGACCGAUGCGGCUUUCGGGCUGCGUCGGUAUUCUGGAAAGAUGUCCAAACUGUAUCAUUUAGAGGAAGUAAAAGUCGUAACA